This 468-nucleotide ribosomal RNA is filed under the name uncultured bacterium. RNAcentral's name for it is "partial 16S ribosomal RNA". It matches the Rfam family "Bacterial small subunit ribosomal RNA", at positions 28 to 507 of the family's 1533-position model. The record is from RNAcentral.
GACGAACGCUGGCGGCGUGCUUAACACAUGCAAGUCGAACGGAAAGGCCCUGCUUUUGUGGGGUGCUCGAGUGGCGAACGGGUGAGUAACACGUGAGUAACCUGCCCUUGACUUUGGGAUAACUUCAGGAAACUGGGGCUAAUACCGGAUAGGAGCUCCUGCUGCAUGGUGGGGGUUGGAAAGUUUCGGCGGUUGGGGAUGGACUCGCGGCUUAUCCGCUUGUUGGUGGGGUAGUGGCUUACCAAGGUUUUGACGGGUAGCCGGCCUGGGAGGGUGACCGGCCACAUUGGGACUGAGAUACGGCCCAGUCUCCUACGGGAGGCAGCAGUGGGGAGUAUUGCACAAUGGGGGGAAGCCUGAUGCGACGACGCCGCGUGCGUGAUAACGGCCUUCGGGUUGUAAACCACUGUCGCCGGUGACGAAGCGUGAGUGACGGUAAUGGGUAAAGAAGCACCGGCUAACUACGUG